Molecule: small RNA, 36 nt
Filed under: Arabidopsis thaliana (thale cress)
Lineage: Eukaryota; Viridiplantae; Streptophyta; Magnoliopsida; Brassicales; Brassicaceae
Description: ATSL071410
Source: RNAcentral
AGAGAGAAGAAGAAGGAGAAGAAGAAGAAAGAGAAA